Non-coding RNA from Xyrichtys novacula (pearly razorfish), 6571 nucleotides. The record is from the annotation of a GenBank genome assembly. NCBI's taxonomy places the organism in Eukaryota, Metazoa, Chordata, Actinopteri, Labriformes, Labridae.
CUGCGCCUCCCAUUCAUUAUAAUGGGAAAUGACCACAGACAAGUGCGCACACCAUCUUUGGACCUUGAGUGUGACGCGAUCGGGAGGGGGAGGUGGUCGCGCUGGGGGCGGCGCGACGCGGCUCGGGCCCGACAGUGCCCCACCGGGGCCCUAGUUCUUUCUUUCUUUUUCUUUCUUUAGGGCCCGAGCGUAGCUGCUAAGCAGCUGCGAGAGCCCUCUUGUUCCUGAUGGAUUCUUCUUUCGUUAUUUUUCCUCCGCUUUAAACUGGAAAAUGGCCCACUUCCCACUGGCGAAAACUCAGGAAAUUUGGCAGGACGACCGGGCCUGGUGAAAAAUUUGAUAUUCUGAAGUCGUCCAAACAAAAAAAUGAAAAAUGGCUCCAUAGCGCCCCCUAUGGUGAAAACUCACCUGAUGCCUGUACGCUUUGUCAAAAUGACACAAAAUUUGACACACAUGUGUAUUCUCAAUAAGAUCUACGAAAAAGUCAGUGCGGGCGUAUCUGCCAAAUGUACGGUUAAAGGGCUAUUUCGCUUUUUUUGCCGAUCCGCACACAUUGGAAUUUCGCUAACUCCUCCGAAGGCUUUCGUUCCACCGGCACCAAAUUUGCUCAGGCCAAUCUACACCCCAUGGCCAUUAAAAGUUGUACAAAUCAUGAUGCUGCACCCCACGGUUUACUUUCUAGGGGGCGCCAAAGAUAACACAAAAAUCCACAUUCUUAAAAGUCUUAUAACUUUUUAUUUUUGUCCUCACUGGCCUCCAAGUUUUCUAGGAUGAUGCAAUGUCCAGCCAUCAACACAUUUGUGAAGGAAUUUUUACUCCCCAAAAGAGCGCCCCCCCAUGGCAGGAGAAAAAAGUCCAUUUUUUCUUGUCUCCUAAGGUAAAAAUACACAUUGUUGAGUGUCACGCCUAUACACUUUGUCAUAUUGACACACAAUUUGACAAUCACGUGUAUCUCAAUAAGAUCUACAAAAAAGUCAAUAGGCACGUAUCUGUCAAAUGUAUGGUUAAAGGGCUAUUUCGCAUUUUUUGCCGAUUCGCACACAUUGGAAUGUGGCUAUCUCCUCCUAAGGCUUUCGUCCCACCGAUACCAAAUUUGCUCAGGGCAAUCUACACCCCAUGGCCAUUCAAAGUUGUAGAAAUCAUGACGCUGCACCCCACGGUUUACGUUCUAGGGGGCGCCAAAGAUGACCCAAAAAUCCACAUUCUUAAAAGUCAUUUUGGCCACUGCAGGAGUACAGAGUACUGCAGUUCUAGGGGGCGCCAAAGAUGACCCAAAAAUCCACAUUCUUAAAAGUCUUUUUGGCCACUGCAGGAGUACAGAGUACUGCCGGACACACACACAUAUACACACACGCCAACACACACACACACACACACACACACACACACACACACACACACACACUCAGAGUCUGUUUUUUAGCACCUGCAAAAACAUGCUGUUUACAUAUUUGACAAGAAUGCAGAGGCUUCCUUUUGCCCCUGAAAAAAAUCAAAUUUCAAACACAACUUGACUGUUCAUUUCUCCAAAAGACAACCAUGAAGCUCCAUCCAAACCUGAAGCAGAUAGUUGGUGCAUGUGUACAGUAACCUGAGGAGAGUGAGGUGACUACUUCUGAGGAGAACAUGAGCAGUGAAGAUUCACCUUGGAGCUAGAACAGGGACGUGCACAUGAUUAUACAGGGGCAGGGGCUCAAGUUUUUUCCAGUCAUUUAUACAAUAUGGAAAUUAAUGUGAAAUUAAACCACAAAUAUGUGUGAUGAACUGUUUUUAAAACUUAAACUUCAAAUAAAAAUUGUAAACUUUAAAACAUAUGCAAAUUUUUAACAAAGAACAUAGUAAUUUACCUCUAUUUACAUCAAAAUGCAGGCAAUGGCCCAGGCGUUCUUUGUAAAAUUAUUUACAAAACACUGUAUAGUCUCACAAAUGUCACUUUUUAUUUAUGCCACUACAAAAAAACAUGAUGUAAAUGAUGCAUGAUGUAAAACAUGAUGUAAAAAACUUGUGUAGAUCCUCCUCUAUGUCAGUCCAUGUGUAAUUUUUCCAUAAUUCUUUGUUUUUUGCAGCAUUUUUGUUAGUGUAACUGCAGAUUGUGCUGACAGUGUCUAUGGCAAAAAAAAAAAAAAAACUGAAAAUGCCUCAACAUGAACUCCUGGUGGUCUCUGAGGGUGAAACCUGCUAACUGCUGCAGCUCUCUCAGCUCUAGUCUCCCAUGCAGAGCUCGGAGCGCAUGUGUGGCUCUGCACCCUUAGCAGCGUUGCUAACUCCUCAGUAAGGAAAGCCUGCUUCAUGUCAGAGUCUCUAAACUCCAGAGGAAGUCGAUAAAAUUCCCUUUCUUUCUAAAAAAAAGUCGUUAGGGGGUCUGAAAAGUCAUUGAAUCUAACAACAAAGUCGCUAGGUUUGCAACUACGUUUCCCAGACUGCAUCCCUGCUGAGAGUUCCUCCCUCCCUUCUCAUAUUGCAGGAAGAACGUAAGCGCCCGCCCCUUGUCAAUCAGUCACCAUAUAAUUUUGGAUUGGUUGUUGUGGUGAAGUUUUCCACCAAUAGGAGAGAUGUUGUGGUGUGUUUUUUUUUUCUUUUGGCAUGCCUUUUCCGCCUGUAAGAGCUGUCGCUAAUGUCUGCAUGCUAUGUUUUCCUGUCUCAUACAGCGUGAUCGAGCGCCGAACGUGAUCAAAAUAAGCAGAAAAAAAGUAUCGCGGACAUAAUUUAUCAUAACUCUGGUUUUAUUUGGCCUAUCAACACAAUUUAAAAACUGGUAUAUAGUUUGAGGUCCUCACUUUUGAGAUAAGUUGAAACGGAGGGUGAACGAGGCUCCGUCUUGCAGCUACAUCCGGUUAAAUAUGUCAUGUGACUUGAACGCUGGGGAGCGUCAAUCGACUGCAGAGCCAGCAGACAAAGUAGUUAUGCCACUGAGAGGCACACAUUUGUCAUAUGCUAUAAUCCUAACAUAUUUUAAUGCUUUUUCUAUUUAAACCUAAUGGAUCUAAGGUUUGACCUUCAAAAUUUAGGAAGAAUAUGUUUUUGCAGUAAUGACCCCCUUAAACAACCAGAGGUCCUUUCCUAAAGUUUAUGGAAAUUUUAGUGAAGGCCUUGGUUUCUUUCCUUGCAAAAUGUAUAGAAAUAAUAAAGCUAAAUACCAUAAAAUGGUCUUGGCGUAUUAGCAGUGAUAUAAAAUAGUGGUUUGAAUAUGAAUGAACAACAAAAAAAAACAUCAACAGAGCCUUUUUGAGUUGGGAUUCUUUCAUUAUCACACAAAAACAGACAUAGACAGACAUCUAAAGGGUAAGGGAAUGAUCAGCCCUCCUAACUCUCAGAUGAAUCUUCAAAAUUCACCGCAGAAAUAUGCUUAUUAUUCUUCUCAGAGUACUGCAAGAUAUAUACAAACACACACAGACACACACACACACACACACACACACACACACACACACACACACACACACACUCAGAGUCUGUUUUUUAGCACCUGCAAAAACAUGCUAUUUACAUAUUUGACAAGAAUGCAGAGGCUCCUUUUGCCCCUGAAAAAAAUCAAAUUUCAAACACAACUUGACUGGUCAUUUCUCCAAAAGACAACCAUGAAGCUCCAUCCAAACCUGAAGCAGGCAGUUGGUGCAUGUGUACAGUAACCUGAGGGGAGUGAGGUGACUGCUUCUGAGGAGAACAUGAGCAGUGAAGAUUCACCUUGGAGCUAGAACAGGGACGUGCACAUGAUUAUACAGGGGCAGGGGCUCAAGUUUUUUCCAGUCAUUUAUACAAUAUGGAAAUUAAUGUGAAAUUAAAAAACAAAGUAUUAAUAGAAAGGUAAUGACUGUCCUGUGUAGAUGACAGUGAUAUCCAAUAGGCUAGGCACUCACGAGGCUGGCUGUGGCAAGUGUAAGUGAAAGCAACACGCACUGGCAGGAAGAACAGCAAACGCCGAUGAAGGAAAAGGGUCUUUGCAGUGAUGGGCGUUACCAGAGAGGGCGAUGGCCAGAGGACGCGAAUGGGACGGGGAGGCAGCGCGUUGGGGGGGGCGGCGCGACACGGCUCGGGCCCGCCAGUGCCCCAAUGGGGCCCUAGUUAGGGCCCGAGCGUAGCUGCUAAGCAGCUGCGAGAGCCCUAUUAUUCCUGAUGGAUUCUUCUUUCUUUAGGGCCCGAGCGUAGCUGCUAAGCAGCUGCGAGAGCCCUCUUGUUCCUGAUGGAUUCUUCUUUUGUUAUUAUUAGGGCCCGAGCGUAGCUGCUAAGCAGCUGCGAGAGCCCUGUUGUUCCUGAUGAGUUUUUCUUUCUUCUUUCUUUCUUUCUUUCUUUCUUUCUUUCUUUCUUUCUUUCUUUCUUUAGGGCCCGAGCGUAGCUGCUAAGCAGCUGCGAGAGCCCUAUUAUUCCUGAUGGAUUCUUCUUUCUUCUUCUUCUUCUUAUUAUUUUUCUGCCCCUUUGAACUGGAAAAUGGCCCACUUCCCACUGGUGAAAAGUCAUGAAAUUUGGCAGGACGACCGGGCCUGGUGAAAAAUUCGAUAUUCUGAAGUCGCCCAAAAAAUCAAAUGCAAAAUGGCUCCAUAGCGCCCCCUAAGGUGAAAAAUUCACAUGAUUGAGUGUCACGCCUGUACGCUUUGUCAAAAUGACACAAAAAUUGACACACAUAUGUAUCUCAAUAAGAUCUACAAAAAAGUCAGUGCGGCGUAUCUGUCAAAUGUACGGUUAAAGGGUUAUUUCGCAUUUUUUGCCGAUCCGCACACAUUGGAAUUUCGCUAACUCCUCCGAAGGCUUUCGUUCCACCGGCACCACAUUUGCUCAGGCCAAUCUACACCCCAUGGCCAUUAAAAGUUGUACAAAUCAUGACGCUGCACCCCACGGUUUAGGUUCUAGGGGGCGCCAAAGAUAACCCUAAAAUCCACAUUCUUAAAAGUCUUAUAACUUUUUAUUUUUGUCCUCACUGGCCUCCAAGUUUUCUAGGAUGAUGCAAUGUCCAGCCAUCAACACAUUUGUGAAGGAAUUUUUACUCCCCAAAAGAGCGCCCCCCCAUGGCAGGAGAAAAAAGUCCAUUUUUUCUUGUCUCCUAAGGUGAAAAUUCACACUAUUGACUGUCACGCCUUUACGCUUUGUCAUAUUGACACAAAAAUUGACACACACAUGUAUCUCAAUAAGAUCUACGAAAAAGUCAAAGCAGGCGUAUCUGUCAAAUGUACGGUGAAAGGGUUAUUCCGCAUUUUUUGCCGAUCCGCACACAUUGGAAUUUCGCUAACUCCUCCGAAGGCUUUCGUUCCAAAGGCACCACAUUUGCUCAGGCCAAUCUACACCCCAUGGCCAUUAAAAGUUAUUCAAAUCAUGACGCUGCACCCCACGGUUUAGGUUCUAGGGGGCGCCAAAGAUAACCCUAAAAUCCACAUAUUUAAAAGUCUUAUAACUUUUUAUUUUUGUCCUCACUGGCCUCCAAGUUUUCUAGGAUGAUGCAAUGUCCAGCCAUCAACACAUUUGUGAAGGAAUUUUUACUCGCCAAAAGAGCGCCCCCCCAUGGCAGGAGAAAAAAGUCCAUUUUUUCUUGUCUCCUAAGGCGAAAAUACACAUUGUUGAGUGUCACGCCUUACGCUUUGUCAAAUUGACACAAAAUUUGACACACAUGUGUAUCUCAAUAAGAUCUACAAAAAAGUCAAGUGCGGGCGUAUCUGUCAAAUGUACGGUUAAAGGGUUAUUUCGCAUUUUUUGCCGAUCCGCACACAUUGGAAUUUCGCUAACUCCUCCUAAAUCUUUUGUCCCAUCGGCUACCAAAUUUGCUCAGGUCAAUCUACACCCCAUGGCCAUUCAAAGUUGUACAAAUCAUGACGCUGCACCCCACAGUUUACGUUCUAGGGGGCGCCAAAGAUGACCCAAAUAUCCACAUUUUUAAAAGUCUUAUAACUUUUUAUUUUUGUCCUCACUGGCCUCCAAGUUUUCUAGGAUGAUGCAAUGUCCAGCCAUCAACACAUUUGUGAAGGAUUUUUUUCUCCCCAAAAGAGCGCCCCCCAUGGCAGGAGAAAAAGUCAAUUUUUUCCUGCCCAUCGCUCAAUGGCUCAAACGCAUCGCUCUCUCUGCAAAACCGAAAGGAGGAGCAACUUGCCAUUUGGAUAUAUACUAGCUGUGUUUGUGCCCUCACUCAUGGUCCAGACUUUUUUCAAAUAGGACAUGUAGUUUGUCUGCAGCGAGCGUUUUGAUAGAAACUGCGCCUCCCAUUCAUUAUAAUGGGAAAUGACCACAGACAAGUGCGCACACCAUCUUUGGACCUUGAGUGUGACGCGAUCGGGAGGGGAGGCGGUCGCGCUGGGGGCGGCGCGACGCGGCUCGGGCCCGACAGUGCCCCACCGGGGCCCUAGUCUUCUUCUUAUUAUUUUUCUGCCCCUUUGAACUGGAAAAUGGCCCACUUCCCACUGGUGAAAAGUCAUGAAAUUUGGCAGGACGACCGGGCCUGGUGAAAAAUUCGAUAUUCUGAAGUCGCCCAAAAAAUCAAAUGCAAAAUGGCUCCAUAGCGCCCCCUAAGGUGAAAAAUUCACAUGAUUGAGUGUCACGCCUGUACGCUUUGUCAAAAUGACACAAAAUUUGACACACACGUGUAUCUCAA